AGAGUUUGAUCCUGGCUCAGAUUGAACGCUGGCGGCAUGCUUUACACAUGCAAGUCGGACGGCAGCACAGGGAAGCUUGCUUCUCGGGUGGCGAGUGGCGAACGGGUGAGUAACAUAUCGGAACGUACCGGGUAGCGGGGGAUAACUGAUCGAAAGAUCAGCUAAUACCGCAUACGUCUUGAGAGGGAAAGCAGGGGACCUUCGGGCCUUGCGCUAUCCGAGCGGCCGAUAUCUGAUUAGCUGGUUGGCGGGGUAAAGGCCCACCAAGGCGACGAUCAGUAGCGGGUCUGAGAGGAUGAUCCGCCACACUGGGACUGAGACACGGCCCAGACUCCUACGGGAGGCAGCAGUGGGGAAUUUUGGACAAUGGGCGCAAGCCUGAUCCAGCCAUGCCGCGUGUCUGAAGAAGGCCUUCGGGUUGUAAAGGACUUUUGUCAGGGAAGAAAAGGCCGUUGCCAAUAUCGGCGGCCGAUGACGGUACCUGAAGAAUAAGCACCGGCUAACUACGUGCCAGCAGCCGCGGUAAUACGUAGGGUGCGAGCGUUAAUCGGAAUUACUGGGCGUAAAGCGGGCGCAGACGGUUACUUAAGCAGGAUGUGAAAUCCCCGGGCUCAACCCGGGAACUGCGUUCUGAACUGGGUGACUCGAGUGUGUCAGAGGGAGGUGGAAUUCCACGUGUAGCAGUGAAAUGCGUAGAGAUGUGGAGGAAUACCGAUGGCGAAGGCAGCCUCCUGGGAUAACACUGACGUUCAUGUCCGAAAGCGUGGGUAGCAAACAGGAUUAGAUACCCUGGUAGUCCACGCCCUAAACGAUGUCAAUUAGCUGUUGGGCAACUUGAUUGCUUGGUAGCGUAGCUAACGCGUGAAAUUGACCGCCUGGGGAGUACGGUCGCAAGAUUAAAACUCAAAGGAAUUGACGGGGACCCGCACAAGCGGUGGAUGAUGUGGAUUAAUUCGAUGCAACGCGAAGAACCUUACCUGGUUUUGACAUGUGCGGAAUCCUCCGGAGACGGAGGAGUGCCUUCGGGAGCCGUAACACAGGUGCUGCAUGGCUGUCGUCAGCUCGUGUCGUGAGAUGUUGGGUUAAGUCCCGCAACGAGCGCAACCCUUGUCAUUAGUUGCCAUCAUUCGGUUGGGCACUCUAAUGAGACUGCCGGUGACAAGCCGGAGGAAGGUGGGGAUGACGUCAAGUCCUCAUGGCCCUUAUGACCAGGGCUUCACACGUCAUACAAUGGUCGGUACAGAGGGUAGCCAAGCCGCGAGGCGGAGCCAAUCUCACAAAACCGAUCGUAGUCCGGAUUGCACUCUGCAACUCGAGUGCAUGAAGUCGGAAUCGCUAGUAAUCGCAGGUCAGCAUACUGCGGUGAAUACGUUCCCGGGUCUUGUACACACCGCCCGUCACACCAUGGGAGUNCCCUGCCGUCAAAAAGAAAAUCAUGCCGGACGGUAUUGUUUAUGCCGAUAGCCCGGGCAGCCGCGGCAAGUCGGACGCGGGCGGUUUUACCCGUUGCCGCAUCAACCGUUCCA
Molecule: ribosomal RNA, 1526 nt
Filed under: Neisseria gonorrhoeae
Lineage: Bacteria; Pseudomonadati; Pseudomonadota; Betaproteobacteria; Neisseriales; Neisseriaceae
Description: bacterial SSU rRNA
Rfam family: Bacterial small subunit ribosomal RNA
Source: RNAcentral